GUCAGGGUCCCAGGACUGGGGGUCAGUCAGGCCCAGGACUGGGGGACACAGGGAUGUCAGUCAGGGCCAUGUCUGUGAGCGGGUAGGCACCCACUUCUUCUGCGUCUCGGCGUCCAUGACGAUGGAGAUGUAGCCCUCGAUGAGGGAGAA
This is a long non-coding RNA of Erinaceus europaeus (western European hedgehog), 150 nucleotides long. RefSeq lists it as uncharacterized. The transcript is spliced from 3 exons. The record is from RefSeq and is a predicted model, not a curated record. NCBI's taxonomy places the organism in Eukaryota, Metazoa, Chordata, Mammalia, Eulipotyphla, Erinaceidae.